AGCUAAUACCGCAUAACGUCGCAAGACCAAAGUGGGGGACCUUCGGGCCUCAUGCCAUCAGAUGUGCCCAGAUGGGAUUAGCUAGUAGGUGGGGUAACGGCUCACCUAGGCGACGAUCCCUAGCUGGUCUGAGAGGAUGACCAGCCACACUGGAACUGAGACACGGUCCAGACUCCUACGGGAGGCAGCAGUGGGGAAUAUUGCACAAUGGGCGCAAGCCUGAUGCAGCCAUGCCGCGUGUGUGAAGAAGGCCUUCGGGUUGUAAAGCACUUUCAGCGGGGAGGAAGGCGAUAAGGUUAAUAACCUUGUCGAUUGACGUUACCCGCAGAAGAAGCACCGGCUAACUCCGUGCCAGCAGCCGCGGUAAUACGGAGGGUGCAAGCGUUAAUCGGAAUUACUGGGCGUAAAGCGCACGCAGGCGGUCUGUCAAGUCGGAUGUGAAAUCCCCGGGCUCAACCUGGGAACUGCAUUCGAAACUGGCAGGCUAGAGUCUUGUAGAGGGGGGUAGAAUUCCAGGUGUAGCGGUGAAAUGCGUAGAGAUCUGGAGGAAUACCGGUGGCGAAGGCGGCCCCCUGGACAAAGACUGACGCUCAGGU
This 596-nucleotide ribosomal RNA is filed under the name Klebsiella pneumoniae subsp. pneumoniae. RNAcentral describes it as "bacterial SSU rRNA". It matches the Rfam family "Bacterial small subunit ribosomal RNA", at positions 161 to 752 of the family's 1533-position model. Lineage: Bacteria; Pseudomonadati; Pseudomonadota; Gammaproteobacteria; Enterobacterales; Enterobacteriaceae. The record is from RNAcentral.